GAAUGAACAGGGAAGAGCUCAAAUCUAUAACCGUGUUCACGGAUACGAGAUGUGACCUCGUGUGCGUUCACCAGCUGCUCCUACGUCGUUAGUUGUUUGGAACAACACAUAAUCACGGGUGAAAAUCCCAUCUGUCGACCUUAUGGAGGCGCGUACGGUGUGCGUUCCCCGAGUCGCGCACCCUGGGACGGGUGCGUAAAUUCGGUGGUAAGUUUCAUCGAAAGCUCAAUAUUUCCUCGAGUCCGAUAGCGAACAAGUACCAUGAGGGAAAGGUGAAAAGUACUUUGAAAAGAGAGUUAAACGUGCCUGAAAUCGUUGUGAAUCAAGCGAUUGGAAUCAACGUCGUUGGGCGAAGUUGUUUCAUCCUGCUUUGACGAGUUUUCGUUCUGGUUGGUUUGGCGCGGUUUGUUGUUCCGGAUCCCCUUGAAGACAUCUGACACUGGUGGAUGAGCCGUCUACACCGCCGAUUGAAAUUUCUUCGGAAUGAUCUUUCGGAAGUGGCGGCUUU
This 508-nucleotide ribosomal RNA is filed under the name Dinophysis sp. PW-2014. RNAcentral describes it as "eukaryotic LSU rRNA". It matches the Rfam family "Eukaryotic large subunit ribosomal RNA", at positions 91 to 603 of the family's 3401-position model. Lineage: Eukaryota; Dinophyceae; Dinophysales; Dinophysaceae. The record is from RNAcentral.